GGUCCAGACUUUGAUUCUGGCUCAGGAUUAACGCUGGCGGCAUGCCUAAGACAUGCAAGUCGAACGGAACACCCCACCGAAAUCUGAAUGAAGUCUGAGAGCUUGCUCAAAGAUGGAAUGACGGUGGACGUGGAUUCUGUGUUCAGUGGCGAACGGGUGAGUAACACGUGGGUUACCUGCCUCUAAGUUGGGGACAACAGUUGGAAACGACUGCUAAUACCGAAUGUGAUAGUAAUAUUAAAGGAGCCUUUAAAGCUUCGCUUAGAGAUGGGCCUGCGGCGUAUUAGCUAGUUGGUGGGGUAAUGGCCUACCAAGGCAACGAUGCGUAGCCGGACUGAGAGGUUGAUCGGCCACACUGGGACUGAGACACGGCCCAGACUCCUACGGGAGACAGCAGUUAGGAAUAUUCGGCAAUGGGGGAAACCCUGACCGAGCAAUGCCGCGUGUGAGAUGAAGGUCCUUCGGAUUGUAAAUCACUUUUAUUUGGGAAGAACUGUAAGUAGAGGAAAUGAUACUUACUUGACGGUACCUUUUGAAUAAGCCCCGGCUAACUACGUGCCAGCAGCCGCGGUAAUACGUAGGGGGCGAGCGUUAUCCGGAUUUAUUGGGCGUAAAGCGUGCGUAGGCGGUUUAUUAAGUCUAGAAUUAAAGCCCGAGGCUUAACCUCGGUUCGUUCUAGAUACUGGUUGACUAGAGUACAGUAGAGGCAAAUGGAAUUCCUAGUGUAGCGGUGGAAUGCGUAGAUAUUAGGAGGAACACCAGUGGCGAAGGCGAUUUGCUGGGCUGUAACUGACGCUGAGGUACGAAAGCGUGGGUAGCAAAUAGGAUUAGAUACCCUAGUAGUCCACGCUGUAAACGAUGAGCACUAAGUGUCGGGUUACCGGUGCUGAAGUUAACACAUUAAGUGCUCCGCCUGAGUAGUACGGUCGCAAGACUGCAACUCAAAGGAAUUGACGG
This 957-nucleotide ribosomal RNA is filed under the name uncultured bacterium. RNAcentral's name for it is "bacterial SSU rRNA". It matches the Rfam family "Bacterial small subunit ribosomal RNA", at positions 1 to 916 of the family's 1533-position model. The record is from RNAcentral. RNAcentral also lists the same sequence under 1 other name.